This is a small nucleolar RNA of Gastrolobium bilobum, 130 nucleotides long. RefSeq annotates it as small nucleolar RNA snoR74. The transcript has a single exon. The record is from RefSeq and is a predicted model, not a curated record. Lineage: Eukaryota; Viridiplantae; Streptophyta; Magnoliopsida; Fabales; Fabaceae.
AAAAAAGCUGGGGCCUGUUUAUCCUGUGUGAGCAUGUCUCUUGUAAAACUUCAGGGACAACAUGGCCAUUGUUGUUGGAUGAAGCUCUGUCUUUUAACUGACUAAAGGUUCAGUAAAUGAUGGAACAUGU